Molecule: ribosomal RNA, 473 nt
Filed under: uncultured bacterium
Lineage: Bacteria
Description: bacterial SSU rRNA
Rfam family: Bacterial small subunit ribosomal RNA
Source: RNAcentral
AUUGAACGCUGGCGGCAUGCCUUACACAUGCAAGUCGAACGGCAGCGGACCUUCGGGUGCCGGCGAGUGGCGAACGGGUGAGUAAUAUAUCGGAACGUACCUUUCAGUGGGGGAUAACGUAGCGAAAGUUACGCUAAUACCGCAUAUUCUGUGAGCAGGAAAGCAGGGGAUCGCAAGACCUUGCGCUGAUUGAGCGGCCGAUAUCAGAUUAGCUAGUUGGUGAGGUAAAGGCUCACCAAGGCGACGAUCUGUAGCGGGUCUGAGAGGAUGAUCCGCCACACUGGAACUGAGACACGGUCCAGACUCCUACGGGAGGCAGCAGUGGGGAAUUUUGGACAAUGGGCGCAAGCCUGAUCCAGCCAUGCCGCGUGAGUGAAGAAGGCCUGGUUGUAAGACGUCUUUCGGUCCGGGAACGAAAGUACGACACAGGUUAAUAACCUCGUGUGGAGUGACGGUACCGGAAGUAAGAAGAC